GAUGAACGCUGACAGAAUGCUUAACACAUGCAAGUCUUUGGCGAAGCUGUGCUUGCACAGCCUAGCCAAGGCGGACGGGUGAGUAACGCGUAAGGAACUUGCCCUGCAGUCAGGGAUAACAGACGGAAACGACUGAUAAGACCUGGUAAAGUCAGGCGGACUCAUGUCCAGCCUGAUGAAAAGAGAUGCUGCAGGAGAGCCUUGCGUCCUAUUAGCUUGUUGGUGGGGUAACGGCCCACCAAGGCGAUGAUAGGUAGCCGGCCUGAGAGGGUGGACGGCCACAAGGGGACUGAGAUACGGCCCUUACGCCUACGGGAGGCAGCAGUGGGGAAUAAUGGACAAUGGGGGCAACCCUGAUCCAGCAAUUCUGUGUGCACGAUGAAGGUUUUCGGAGUGUAAAGUGCUUUCAGCAGGGAAGAAAAAAAUGACGGUACCUGCAGAAGAAGCGACGGCUAAAUACGUG
RNAcentral lists this ribosomal RNA (463 nucleotides) under uncultured bacterium. RNAcentral's name for it is "partial 16S ribosomal RNA". It matches the Rfam family "Bacterial small subunit ribosomal RNA", at positions 28 to 507 of the family's 1533-position model. The record is from RNAcentral.